Molecule: transfer RNA, 74 nt
Filed under: Candidatus Curtissbacteria bacterium
Lineage: Bacteria; Candidatus Curtissiibacteriota
Description: tRNA-Val
Rfam family: tRNA
About the family: Transfer RNA (tRNA) molecules are approximately 80 nucleotides in length.
Source: RNAcentral
GGAUCCGUAGCUCAGUUGGUUAGAGCGUCACAUUCACAUUGUGAAAGUCACAGGUUCGAAUCCUGUCGGGUCCA